Catharus ustulatus (Swainson's thrush) is the source of this 2575-nucleotide long non-coding RNA. RefSeq lists it as uncharacterized. The record is from RefSeq and is a predicted model, not a curated record. Lineage: Eukaryota; Metazoa; Chordata; Aves; Passeriformes; Turdidae. The transcript has 3 exons.
GGGCACGGGGAGAGCGGCGUGGGGCUGAAGGGCUGCAGCGGCCUCACUGGGAGUGUUUGUGUGCGGGCUCAGGUGUGCGUGAGGGGUGUUAGCGCCCAGAGUGGGCUCAGGUGUGCCUGAGGGGUGUUAGCGCCCAGAGUGGGCUCAGGUGCUGUGGGGGUAGUGGGGCUCACAGCGGGCUCAGGUGUGUGUGUGAGGGGCUUGGGGACCUCGAGUGAUUUCAGCGGGGUGAAGGGCCGAGUGCUGCAGUAACCUCGGGUGUGUCGGGGAUAUGCGGUCUGCAGUGGUCUCAGGUAUGGGGAACGGAUGUUGGGGCCCAUAUCAGGGUCAGGUCUGUGUGGAGGGGUGUGAGGGUCCAUAAUCAGUUCAGAGGUGUUGUGUGUGUGUUUGUGUACGUUGGCAGGGUCUGUAGUGGUCUCAAGUGUGUGUGUGUGUGAGGGUGUUGGGGCCACAACCAGCUCCUGUGUGAGGGGCCAGUAAAAAGGCAGCCCUGAAUCUUCAGUCCUGUGCUGCAGGUGUUGGGGAGCCCUGACAGGGACUGUGUGUGCAUGAAGAGGCCCCUGGUACCCAAACAGGAGCAGCUGUGAUUUAGCAGCAAAGCCCCAAAGGAAAAGGAACUAGCCGGGGUUGAGAGCUCUGGGUUAGGAAUUGCUCAGAGCUGAGGCAGGGUAAGAACCAUCUUCGGAGAGCUGUGUGAAACCACAGGUACAGAAACCUGAGAGCCCUUGAGUCCCAGCUGAGGAGUGUUGGUGUGUCCUGUGCCUCAGAGGCCAAGUGGAAAGAAGAGCACAGUGAGCAUGACUUAUCUGUCAGCAGCUCUGUGAAAAGCUGAUGCUGAGCAAGCAGGAGCAGAGAUCUCUCCCCAAACUGAGCGAGUACAAAGUCCUGAGUGAGUUGUGACGAGAACAGCUCUGAUGGAAGCGUGAGCCAAGAACAACAGCUCGGCAGGGAACUUUACACUUUCCCUGACAGCUCCUUGGGGCGGAGACAGUUAAGUUUCUGCGUUUGUAAGGGAAACAUGGCAUUCCUUAGAGCUGAGCCUCCUCCCUCGGGUUCCCACUGAAUGCCUGAGAGAUGACAGCAGAGGGUGUCUCCAGCAGGCUCCUAUUAAACAGGAGGAAUUAGCACGGAGGGAGCAACAGCAAGAUCCUAGUUUUAACCACAGAAUGAGCCAAAAAGCUUUGCACAGCAGCACUUUGCAGGUUUUUUACCCACUAGCUGCACACAGCUCAUGUUCAGGCGGUUCUGUGCCCUCGUGUUGGUGCCUGCACCUGCCCGAUGUGUGAAGGGCUGUGCUGGGAGGGCAGAUCAGCUCCAAACAGAAAGUGCUGAGGCAGCAGUGAGGCAGGGCAGAUGAUCCUUGGGAGGGCAGCUGUGGUUCAGACACACUUAGAACUGGUUUGGUGUCCCCAGCAGCACAAACCCAGCUGGCAGGGGAGCUGGUGAGCCGAGUACGUGGACAGAUGGAACAGAUACAGACAGGAAAUGGGGGAGAAAGGGGAAAUGUUAGUGUUUGUAAAGCCCCGAGAGGGCUCUGGUUAGUUCCUGAGUCCUACAGUCCCAUUUCUGUUUUCAGCGCAGUGACUGGAUGGCUUUGGCGAGUGGCUCGAGGAGCUCAAGCCGGGCGUGAGUGUGGGGACAGGACAGAGCCGUGGGCACCAGCAGCUCAUGCGAUGUGGCAGCCGCCACCACGCCCUUUCCUGUUCACCCCGGGGCCGCGGGCAGCCGUGCCAGCCGCAUCGCCUGAGUGGGGAGAAGGGAAAUGGAAGGGUUUCCAAAGUGCUGACAACCCACAGCAUUCCUUGGGAAAGGAGAAGUGGUGAGCAGCGCUGGUGGUGUCUCUCCCCUGAGACAAAAACGCUCCCAGAAGUUCUGUGAGCUGCUUGGGGCGGGGGGGGUGUGCUGACUUUUAGCCGUGCCUCAGCCUCGUCCCCUGUUAGAGGCAAUAUUGACUUAAGGAAAGAGGCACGGAGCAUGCUUGGCAUGGGUGUUCCGAGUUAAAAAUUGUCAGUCUGGGCAAACAGACCUUUGGGGCGAUGGGCAGGAAAGCUGAGUGGUUGUGCUGCAUUAUUGCUGCUCCUUUCGGAGCACGGUGUGACCUGGCUCGGCGGGUUUGGAGAAGCGCUGCAGGUUUUGGAGCUCAGUGCUUCAGAUCAAACCCAUUUCCUUCCCCUCGGUGAGGUGUUUGUAGUGCCUCAGUGAGUCAAUAAGCUGUGCAUGUGAGGAAUGCACCUCAGAGCUGAAGGUGAGCGAUUAGUGUGGCUGUGCUGGAGGUGAUGAGAUUAAUUAGUCCUUCCCAGGUGAAUUAGAGCUGCAGAAAUAAGAUACAUGAGAUAUUUAGUCUAAAAUACCACUGUGAAGCAUUUUCAGAUAGGAGUGGGAUCCUGCAUAUGACUCUGACCACAGGAUAUGUAUCUUGAUCCUUAAUUUUGUAGCAGUGCCUGCCUAGUCAGGAGAAUAACCAGUACGUGGCAGAUGUCAGACACGUGUUCUACAAAAGCUGCUCUUCACUGGCACCUGAUUCACCUGGCUGAGAUCACAGUGCUGGCUGUGGCGGGGCUCUGCUGAGAGUAUG